UGCUUUUGCCCUUCCAUGUAGAGCAGCUGUCAGGAACUCGGGACACUUUCCCAGUCCAGUUCACAGAAGGAAGUCCAGAAGGCCAGAGGCUUAACCCAGUAGUGUCUGAGUACCUGCUUGGCAAAGCCUUCUACGGCCAAAAUGGAAACCCUGAAUCCACUACCAGGAGUUCUAGGUAAGACAAGCCAAAAGUCAGAAAGACCAUCUCUGGACAUGGCCUCAAAUUAAGAGCUCCUCCAGUCCAACUAAAAGUUAAAGUAACUCCUGCUCUGGAAAACAGUACACAAGGGUGAACUGCCCAGCCUCCUUCCUGCUCUGCUGGCCAAAUCCAUGGCAGGUCCAAGUCACAUGCCUCUUUUCGUGAAGGAAAAAUCAUCAGCACCUCCUACAAAGGUCUUCCCAAUCACUUCAUUUGGGGGGUAGGGGUGUGGAUUUUAAAACUUUGAAGACUACGUCACACUCACCUGGCCCCUCACCUCUGGCUUUGACAACCAUCUUGCUUUACAAGUGAAUUCCGACAGGAUUCUAAAGAUGGUCACAAUGCAGGUGCCAGGAAUGCCUUCCUGGGUACAUGGAGUUCCCGCCCACAACCACAGAAGACAUUACAGAGGACUGCCCAAAAGGUAUGAAAUGGCAACCUGACAACAACCUUACUUAAAAGCCAGUAAAGACAUCAGAAAAGAUGUUGGUGUGCAGCAAAAAACCCUUCACAGCGCCUCACAUGGGCAAAACCAAAGAGACCUUAGUCACACAACAGCAAUGGCAAGAUUUUCACCCAAGCAAUCUGACUUGGAACCCAUGGAUUAACCAACUCACUAUACUGCCACUGGAGGCAAAUCCAGAGACCAAGGGAGCAGUUUAUACAGAAACAGAUGCCGGCAUUAACCCACAGGGAGUUAUUGUUACAGACUGAAGAACAGAAAAAGAAAAAGCCAGAUAGAGCCUUAUUCCACCCAGCUUAGCUUCCAUAGAACAUUGUGAAUGAGAGAGUAGAUUCUUGAGAAAAUCCUGGAGUUACCCAGUUUUCAUGACUCGUUUCGUUAGACCAUCAUUUCCCAAACUGUGUUCUUUAUAAAAAAGCAGUUCUUCAGAAGGCUGGAAAGUAUUGUUUGGAAGGGGGUUCCAUGGUGAAGUCAGUUUGGAAUGCAGGGUUUACCCAAUUUUGAGAAGUUUCUUUGCAGGACUUCUCAGGGCCUUUGUGAAUCUCCAAGAAAAGAAUGUAGUAUGAAAGAUGAAAACUUUCUCCUGGCUGAUGGAACACACAUUGCAAAGCACUUCUAUAGACCAAUAUGAUUUCCAGUAAGAGCUAAAUAAAUUUUGUCAGUUGUUAAGGCAUAAAACAUUAAUAUAGGAUAUUACAGUCCUAGGCUUGCAUUACUUAAUUUGGAUUUUUCACCUAAGAAAAAUUAACUUUAAUGUGAAAAAUUAGGAGACAAUAUAGAGAAAAUUCAAGAGCCUCUCCAGAUAAAUUCUUAGAACUAAUGACAAAGUUCUCUAAAGUUUCUGGAUAUAAGAUGCCUGGGAUGCUGGAGGGGGAAAUACUUUCUUAUUUAUUAAUAGCAAGCAAUUAGAAUAAUAUUUUAAAUACCAUUUAUAAUAGUAUCAAAAUCUAUAAAGUAUCUAGGAAUAAGUCUAAUAAAAUAUGGCCAAAACA
Macaca mulatta (Rhesus monkey) is the source of this 1654-nucleotide non-coding RNA. The record is from RefSeq and is a predicted model, not a curated record. NCBI's taxonomy places the organism in Eukaryota, Metazoa, Chordata, Mammalia, Primates, Cercopithecidae.